GUGGGGAAUUUUGGACAAUGGGCGCAAGCCUGAUCCAGCAAUGCCGCGUGCAGGAAGAAGGCCUUCGGGUUGUAAACUGCUUUUGUACGGAACGAAACGGUCCUGGCUAAUACCCGGGGCUAAUGACGGUACCGUAAGAAUAAGCACCGGCUAACUACGUGCCAGCAGCCGCGGUAAUACGUAGGGUGCGAGCGUUAAUCGGAAUUACUGGGCGUAAAGCGUGCGCAGGCGGUGCUGUAAGACAGGCGUGAAAGCCCCGGGCUCAACCUGGGAAUUGCGCUUGUGACUGCAGUGCUGGAGUGCGGCAGAGGGGGAUGGAAUUCCGCGUGUAGCAGUGAAAUGCGUAGAUAUGCGGAGGAACACCGAUGGCGAAGGCAAUCCCCUGGGCCUGCACUGACGCUCAUGCACGAAAGCGUGGGGAGCAAACGGGAUUAGAAACCCUAGUAGUCC
RNAcentral lists this ribosomal RNA (450 nucleotides) under uncultured bacterium. Its description in RNAcentral is "partial 16S ribosomal RNA". It matches the Rfam family "Bacterial small subunit ribosomal RNA", at positions 354 to 796 of the family's 1533-position model. The record is from RNAcentral.